CGGGGUGGGCUUAACCCCUGCUGUCGCCGGGCUCCCGCCAAUCCCCCAACUCCGAGCCCGCUCGCCCACGGCCCCGCAGAGUCUCCCGGCUGCAGAGCAGCCCGCGGAAGGCGUCCCGCACUGCCUGCAUCUCCCGUCCGCACCGCCUGCAUCUCCCGUCCGCACCGCCUGCAUCUCCCUCCCCGCAGCACUCACCGCACACGUGUGCCAGAAGCUCGCAGAGUUCCGCCACCUCCCGCCGCUUCCGCUUCCGUGUUUGGUCCCGCCCCAGGUCCUCUGAUUGUAUUCUUCCGCCACGGCGCUUGGGGUCAAGGGGUGGAGCUUAGGAGGAAACGCGAGGUCCCCGGUUUCUAUUGGUCACCCUCGCCGCACUGCCAAAGCUGGUCUGCGCGGCUUUUGGCCCUUGAAGGGAUCCGUCUGGUGAAGACGAGACAGUGGCGCCGGAAAGUGACGCUAGAGCCUGCCGAGUCUGGGAAAGACUCCGCUUCUCGCGAGGACCGCCCCGUUAACUCUGCAAUCCCGGGCUACGUUCCGUUAGCUCUCCUAGACCUUUAUCCAGCAGCUGGUGGAAGUAGAAGCAGACACCCACAGCUAAACACUGAACUGAACUGGAAUCCAGUUGCAGAGAAGAACGAGUGAUGAGCAAAGGGGUCCAGACCAGGCUGGUGAAACCCACAGAAACACCUGAUCUGAACAAGGGAGAGCUCUUGGUCCCCAGACUGAUAGCUGGGAAACCAGCAUGGGACUGAUCCAGACCCCAGGAAUGUGGUUGUCAGUGAGGAGAUCUGGGAAAUCUAUGGGGCCCCUUGUAGUAGAUCAGUACUUAUCCCUAGCAUAGGAAUGGACUUUGGGAGCCCAUCCCACAUAGAGGAAUACUCCCUGAGCCUAAACACACAGGAUGGGCCUAGGCCCUAUCCCAAAGGAUAUGGCAGAUUCGGAAGACCCCCCCCCUAUGGAAGGCCUCACCCUCCCUGGGGACCAGAAAGGGUAUGGCAUAGGUAGGGUGUUAGUUGGGGGGGGAGGGGAGGAGGGGAG
This 1035-nucleotide long non-coding RNA is filed under the name Cricetulus griseus (Chinese hamster). Its description in RNAcentral is "lncRNA (ENSCGRG00000025219.1)". Lineage: Eukaryota; Metazoa; Chordata; Mammalia; Rodentia; Cricetidae. The record is from RNAcentral.